CCUACGGGUGGCAGCAGUGGGGAAUAUUGGACAAUGGGCGAAAGCCUGAUCCAGCCAUGCCGCGUGUGUGAAGAAGGCCUUCGGGUUGUAAAGCACUUUCAGUGGGGAAGAAAGCCUUGGGGCUAAUACCCUCGAGGAAGGACAUCACCCACAGAAGAAGCACCGGCUAACUCCGUGCCAGCAGCCGCGGUAAUACGGAGGGUGCGAGCGUUAAUCGGAAUUACUGGGCGUAAAGCGCGCGUAGGCGGUCUGAUAAGCCGGUUGUGAAAGCCCGGGGCUCAACCUGGGAACGGCAUCCGGAACGGUCAGGCUAGAGUGCAGGGGAGGAAGGUAGAAUUCCCGGUGUAGCGGUGAAAUGCGUAGAGAUCGGGAGGAAUACCAGUGGCGAAGGCGGCCUUCUGGACUGACACUGACGCUGAGGUGCGAAAGCGUGGGUAGCAAACAGGAUUAGAUACCCCAGUAGUC
Molecule: ribosomal RNA, 465 nt
Filed under: Vreelandella stevensii
Lineage: Bacteria; Pseudomonadati; Pseudomonadota; Gammaproteobacteria; Oceanospirillales; Halomonadaceae
Description: partial 16S ribosomal RNA
Rfam family: Bacterial small subunit ribosomal RNA
Source: RNAcentral